GGAAGGUCAAUCCGAAAGACGGCGACGGAGAUUGUCUUGAAAACAAUUGAGCUGUGAAAAGCCUUAGGGGUUCGACCCCCCUACCUUCCG
RNAcentral lists this transfer RNA (90 nucleotides) under Rhodococcus phage Trina. Its description in RNAcentral is "tRNA-Ser". It matches the Rfam family "tRNA". From Rfam's summary of the family: Transfer RNA (tRNA) molecules are approximately 80 nucleotides in length. Their secondary structure includes four short double-helical elements and three loops (D, anti-codon, and T loops). Further hydrogen bonds mediate the characteristic L-shaped molecular structure. tRNAs have two regions of fundamental functional importance: the anti-codon, which is responsible for specific mRNA codon recognition, and the 3' end, to which the tRNAs corresponding amino acid is attached (by aminoacyl-tRNA synthetases). tRNAs cope with the degeneracy of the genetic code in two manners: having more than one tRNA (with a specific anti-codon) for a particular amino acid; and 'wobble' base-pairing, i.e. permitting non-standard base-pairing at the 3rd anti-codon position. The record is from RNAcentral. Lineage: Duplodnaviria; Heunggongvirae; Uroviricota; Caudoviricetes.